Macadamia integrifolia is the source of this 2080-nucleotide RNA transcript. It is a transcript of the gene named signal peptide peptidase-like 2, with no coding region annotated. NCBI's taxonomy places the organism in Eukaryota, Viridiplantae, Streptophyta, Magnoliopsida, Proteales, Proteaceae. The record is from RefSeq and is a predicted model, not a curated record. The transcript has 14 exons.
UACGCCUUAAGACGCAAAAGAGUCUGUUUUUUCCCAAUUUAAAAUUGGUUUGGUAUUUGGGAAGUUAAAACAUAUUAAAUACAUGAAUUUCUCUGAUAGAAACGAAGCUUCCCUUGACUGUCAUCAAAACUGUUUCCAUUUUGGACUUGCAGUUCUGUAUUCUGAUGUGAAGCGAAAAUCCAAUCUGCACAUCUGGGCCUGUGGAGUUCUCAACCUAAUGAAUUCGAUGGAUUUACAGAUACUCUUACGAGCAGCUUCUUUGACUGCCCUGCUUGUAUUUGUUAGUCUUCCAUAUUCGGUGUAUGCGGGGGACAUCGUACACGAAGACGAUCAAGCUCCGAAGAAGCCUGGCUGUAACAACAACUUCGUUCUGGUUAAAGUCCAAACUUGGGUGGAUGGCGAAGAAGGCAGUGAGUUUGUGGGUGUUGGUGCUCGAUUCGGCACUACCAUGGAGUCGAAGGAGAAGCAUGCAAAUCAAACUAAGCUUAUCCUCUCUGAUCCUCUUGAUGGUUGCAGCCCGCCUAAGAAUAGGCUUUUUGGAGAAGUCAUCCUGGUUGAACGUGGUAAAUGCAAAUUCACAAAAAAGGCAAAUGUUGCACAAGCUGCUGGUGCUUCAGCAAUCCUAAUUAUAAAUAAUAAGACAGAGCUCUACAAAAUGGUCUGUGAAAAGAAUGAAACAGAUCUCGAUAUACAUAUAGCGGCAGUGAUGCUUCCAAAAGAUGCGGGUGCAAGUUUGAAGAACAGUCUAGAAAGAAAUUCCUCUGUUUCUGUGCGGCUAUACUCUCCACAACGUCCUCUAGUCGAUAUAGCGGAGGUGUUUUUGUGGCUUAUGGCAGUUGGUACUAUCUUGGGUGCAUCAUAUUGGUCUGCAUGGAGUACCAGAGAAGCAAUGAUUGAACAGGAUAAGCUAUUGAAGGAUGCUACAGAAGAAUUUAUAAAGGCUGAAGACACAGGUGGUAGUGGUGUUGUGGACAUAACCUCAACGUCGGCGGUCCUUUUUGUUGUGAUUGCUUCAUGCUUCUUGGUUUUGCUUUACAAGCUCAUGUCCUUCUGGUUCGUGGAGGUUUUGGUGGUUCUAUUUUGCAUUGGAGGUGUAGAGGGCCUGCAAACUUGCUUGGUGGCUUUGUUAUCAAGGUGGUUCAAAAGCGCUGGAGAAACAUUUAUUAAAGUGCCAUUCUUUGGAGCUGUUUCUUACCUUACAUUGGCUGUAACUCCAUUCUGCAUAGCACUUGCUGUUGUUUGGGCAGUGUAUCGCCGCAUCUCCUAUGCUUGGAUAGGUCAAGAUAUCCUUGGGAUUGCGCUGAUACUUACAGUUCUUCAGAUUGUUCAUGUACCUAAUCUCAAGGUGGGCACAGUACUUCUUGGUUGUGCUUUCUUAUACGACAUCUUCUGGGUGUUUGUGUCUACGAUGUUCUUCCAGGAAAGUGUAAUGAUUGUGGUUGCUCGUGGUGACAGAAGUGGUGAGGAUGGUAUUCCAAUGUUACUGAAGAUCCCACGCAUGUUUGAUCCCUGGGGUGGUUACAGCAUUAUUGGAUUUGGUGACAUCCUUAUACCAGGGUUGCUAAUUGCUUUUUCAUUGAGGUAUGAUUGGCUGGCUAAGAAGAGCCUUCGAGCUGGAUACUUUCUGUGGUCUAUGGUCGCAUAUGGUUUAGCUCAUAAAAUGACACUUCAAAAUGCAUGGGAUUCACAGGUCUCCUCGUUACUUAUGUGGCCUUGAAUUUGAUGGAUGGACAUGGCCAGCCAGCUCUUCUUUACAUUGUUCCUUUCAUGCUUGGCACCUUUUUAACCUUGGGGAAGAAGAGAGGUGACCUCAAGAUUCUAUGGACAAGAGGGGAACCUGAGAGGCCUUGCCGGCAUGUUCGGCUGGAAAAAUGUAGUGAGUAGCAAAUUUCUUUGUAUGAUAGAAGAGUGGAUGCACUAACAGCUGAACAAAGUGUAACGAAUUGCAAUGUAGAGAUAGGAUAGGGAAAGUUGUAAGUGUAUGUAGAAAUAGAAUUACACCGACUCUGGAGGAUGUAUUAAUAUCAUUGAACAAGUCUGAAACUUCAACUAGGAUACCAGCCUUUUGAGAGUUUUACUA